Molecule: ribosomal RNA, 680 nt
Filed under: uncultured bacterium
Lineage: Bacteria
Description: bacterial SSU rRNA
Rfam family: Bacterial small subunit ribosomal RNA
Source: RNAcentral
CGAGGGGCAUCGGGAGGGAAGCUUGCUUUCCUUGCCGGCGACCGGCGCACGGGUGAGUAACACGUAUGCAACCUGCCCUCUUCAGGGGGACAACCUUCCGAAAGGGAGGCUAAUCCCGCGUAUAUCGGUUUCGGGCAUCCGUUAUCGAGGAAAGAUUCAUCGGAAGAGGAUGGGCAUGCGGCGCAUUAGCUUGACGGCGGGGUAACGGCCCACCGUGGCGACGAUGCGUAGGGGUUCUGAGAGGAAGGUCCCCCACACUGGUACUGAGACACGGACCAGACUCCUACGGGAGGCAGCAGUGAGGAAUAUUGGUCAAUGGGAGAGAUCCUGAACCAGCCAAGCCGCGUGAGGGAAGACGGCCCUAUGGGUUGUAAACCUCUUUUGUCGGAGAACAAAACCCGGGACGAGUCCCGGACUGCGUGUAUCCGAAGAAAAAGCAUCGGCUAACUCCGUGCCAGCAGCCGCGGUAAUACGGAGGAUGCGAGCGUUAUCCGGAUUUAUUGGGUUUAAAGGGUGCGUAGGCGGUCCGUUAAGUCAGCGGUAAAAUUGCGGGGCUCAACCCCGUCGAGCCGUUGAAACUGGCAGACUUGAGUUGGCGAGAAGUACGCGGAAUGCGCGGUGUAGCGGUGAAAUGCAUAGAUAUCGCGCAGAACUCCGAUUGCGAAGGCAGCGUACCGGCG